UACGUAGGUGGCCUUUUAAGCGUAGGGUAUAAGGCAAUGGCUCAACCAUUGUUCGCCCUAUGAACUGGAAGGCUUGAGUGCAGGAGAGGAAAGCGGAAUUCCUAGUGUAGCGGUGGAAUGCAUAGAUAUUGGGAGGAACACCAGUGGCGAAGGCGGCUUUCUGGACUGCAACUGACGCUGAGGCUCGAAAGCCAGGGGAGCGAACGGGA
This 209-nucleotide ribosomal RNA is filed under the name uncultured Eubacteriales bacterium. RNAcentral's name for it is "uncultured Clostridiales bacterium partial 16S ribosomal RNA". It matches the Rfam family "Bacterial small subunit ribosomal RNA", at positions 568 to 777 of the family's 1533-position model. The record is from RNAcentral. Lineage: Bacteria; Bacillati; Bacillota; Clostridia; Eubacteriales.